AAUUGAUUAUAUAGUUACUGCUUUUUGCUACGAAAAAAUUAAUAACAAAUAUUAAUUACAAAAAGUUACGAAUUAGCUACGGAUAAUUAGAUAAUAGAUUUUGUUGCAAAUUAGUUACUUUUCGUAGCUAAAUAAUGACAAAUAGAUACCAGGAUAAAUUUGUAGCAAAUUUGCUAUAAAUUUAGGGACAAAAUAUGUUGUAACUCUAGUACAUAGGAGAAAUCGUCACAAAUUGUAGUAAAUAAUUUAUAAAAUAAUGUAAACCUAAGUACAAAACAUCUUGAGAAAGAAAGAAAGCUAUGAAUGAGAAGGGGAUACCGAGAGACCAAAAGUUCGUUUCUCAGAUUUUUUAGGAUGAGAUUCAUGAGAAUGGGAUGUUGCAUUGCCUCUUGCUCUCUCUCCUAAGAUUUGUGGGCUUCACCGACCAGAUCUAGGAACAUUGGGAAGGGUUCACUUAAGUACAAAGGCGUUCAGCUUCAAUUCGCCAUCGUAGUUAUCGAUUUUGUUAUUUUUCCGACUGGGUUUUAUGGAUCAGACGAAGAAACUGUUCAAUAACCUUGAUGAUUCUUCUCUCGACCCAUCUCCCUCAAAGGAAGAGUCUUCUGGGUUUCUGAGCUUUAGCAGAGUUCUGAUUGUUGAUAGGUUCUCUCCUUUAAACUCUUAAAAAUCUGAACUUUAUUUUCCUGCAGUUUGAUUAAAAAUGGUUGGUUUGUUAAAAAUUUAUCUAUGAAAAUAGCAUGGAUGUUGAUUUAAGAAAAGAGCUUGCAUCGUCUUCUAAAUCCUUUGUAAAAUAUAUGAAAUAAGCAAUUGGAAAAAAAAAAAGCUUCUUCUUUGAUUCAGUUCUCGAUCACAUGAAUCAAUUUUUUGAUUGUAUUAUCUAGUUGCGAGUUAGUUUUGCUAAUUGAGCUUCAUGGACAGGCAGCUUUGUAGUUGUCUAUUUGUCAGGAUUCACUUUAUAAAUAGAUCUAAGCUGUUUUUCUUGGUGAUCUGAGUUUUUUUGCAGACUGCUAACUAAAGUUCCAUAGACUUGAUGGUCUACCAGGUUUGAAUCAUGGAUUUCACGGACAGGUUCAUGGAAGAAACUGUGUGACUGUUUAGUCUCUAGGUGGUUUAGCUUAUGAUGUUUUUGUUAUGUUAACAUGUUUAAUGGAUUUCAUACUUGUGUAUCUCAGCUGCUGUACAAGGCUAUGAAGGAAUCAAGAGAGUCAAUGGAAGUUGGGCAUAUCACAAGAUUGUGUUCCUGCUAGUUUACAACUCAGGUAUGGACAGUAGAUUUGUUGGUAGCUCAGGAAUUAUGUUUGGCCACACAUAGAUUGAGCUUGGCUAACAUAUUUUUCUAAGACCUUGAUGGUUCUAAGAGGGAACUCACGAGGAUGAUUCAAAUCUUGCUUCAAGGUGGAUGGUUGAGCUUCUCUAUUGGCGAGGAUUAUAGAUAUAUGAAAAUUGGUUUGAGUAUUCUAAAGAGAUUACAGUUUCCUAUAGUGGAUGCAACUGGACUUAGUUUAUUAAACUCACGCUUGUAAUUUUCUUUGGGGGUUGGAGUGAUAGUGAGUAUCAAUUAUCAAAGAGGAAGGAUAGUGUGUCCAUCUACUUAUUUUUAAUUAUGUUUUUAAUUU
Molecule: non-coding RNA, 1616 nt
Organism: Camelina sativa (false flax)
Lineage: Eukaryota; Viridiplantae; Streptophyta; Magnoliopsida; Brassicales; Brassicaceae
Source: RefSeq, a predicted model, not a curated record